GACUGAGGGGAUUUCUUGGAGAACUGUUCUGGCAAGAAGUGCCUGGCUCUGGGCUGCAAAUUGAGCACAGUGGUCCCGGCAUCUGCAUCUGAAUCGCUGCUAUUGCCAUCUAUCAUAGAGCAAAAGAAGGACAAGUCCACAGCAGCAGAACUCCCAGGGGACCCCAAGGCUUCAGCCAUGGUUUCCAGGAAGAUAGCAGAACCCUGAAGAGGGGUUGAGAGGAGAAGCAGAGAAGAUGCCCAGCAUAGGACCUGCUGAGCCCAGUGUCAUGGCUCAGCCUCCAAUUACAGCACAAAACCAGAAGGCAGCCUGUUAGCCAAAGGUAUUGCUGAAGUGAUGUCUAGAGUUCCCAAGCACAAGAAGCCUGUGAUGUGCCUUACGGAGAAAAUGCGUUAAUUAAGCUUGAUCAUAGUGAGUUUAUCGUGCUCCUGACCAUGAGUUCAUUGUUAAUGAAUCAGCAAUAUAUAUUAAAUAAGGUGUCCAUAAACAUAAACAUACAUAAAAAGGCUACAUAUUGAUUGGCUGAUGAAAAUUUUGUGAACAGAGGCUCAAAAAAACCUAACCUUGUGUGUCCCUCUAGAAAAGUGGUUCAGGCCGGGCGCGGUGGCUCACGCCUAUAAUCCCAGCACUUUGGGAGGCCGAGGCGGGUGGAUCAUGAGGUCAAGAGAUCGAGACCAUCCUGGUCAACAUGGUGAAACCCCGUCUCUACUAAAAAUACAAAAAAAUUAGCUGGGCAUGGUGGCGCGUGCCUGUAAUCCCAGCUACUCAGGAGGCUGAGGCAGGAGAAAAUUGCCUGAACCCAGGAGGCGGAGGUUGCGGUGAGCCGAGAUCGCGCCAUUGUGCUCCAGCCUGGGUAACAAGAGCGAAACUCCGUCUCAAAAAAAAAAAAAAAAGAAAGAAAGAAAAGAAAAGUGGUUCAGUAUUUGCAGCUGGGAGCAGUAGUUCAUGCCUGUAAUCCCAGCACUUUGAGAGGCUGAGGUUGGCAGAUCACCUGAGGUCAGGGGUUUGAGAACAGCUUGAACAACAUGACAAAACCCCAUCUCUAUUAAAAAUACAAAAAUUAACUGGGUUUGGUGGUGGGCGCCCUUAAUCCCAACUACUCAGGAGGCUGAGGCAGGAAAAUCGCUUGAACCUGGAUGGCAGAGGUUGCAGUGAGCCGAGAUUGUGCCACUGCACUCUAACCUGGGUGACAAAGCAAGAUUCCAUCUCAAAAGAAACAAAAAAGGUUCAGCAUUUGCAAAUCAGUGUUUGAGGUUAUUUUAUGGAAUGUAAUUCCUUUUACAGUAGACAGUUGGGAACUGCAUUUAUAUAUUUUUAUUCUAACUCCUUCCAAAAAGGGCUUGAGGCAGGCUACAAAAAUAUGUAGUAUAAGAAAAUAAAUAGAAAAGAAAAAUUAAGAAACAAAUUAAAGCCGGGAAAGUUGAUAUGCAUAAAUGCAGGUCUUACAGAAGAAGCACUGAGGACACAGAAAUUAAAGAACACAGUUUUCUUAUAUGUUUCAAUGCAAAUUUACCACUGCUGUGAACCAAUCAUAAUAGUACUUACUGGGGUACAAAAACCUAGUGCACAAUGGGUAAUGGAUUCACAGAGAGGAGUAAACACAGAGAAUUAAUGCUUCUGCAGGACAGACUUCUCUAGAUUUAGGUGAUUCAUUUUUACCUCCUCUCAAUCACUCAGAUAGUUUAUUAGAAGCAUUUUCUCAGGGAGAGGUGUUUUUGUUUAGACAGCUGUUCCACUUUCUAGUCAGGUUUUUUUUUUUUACCAUCAAAGUUAAUUCACAGAUUUUCAGAGUUGGAAGGAAUAUAAGAGGUCAUUAAGUACAAUCUAUCUUUUUGAUAUCUUAUUUUCUUGUAUAAUGUG
Molecule: non-coding RNA, 1860 nt
Organism: Callithrix jacchus (white-tufted-ear marmoset)
Lineage: Eukaryota; Metazoa; Chordata; Mammalia; Primates; Cebidae
Source: RefSeq, a predicted model, not a curated record